GAGGUUGUAGCUCAGUGGUAGAGUGCUUGCCUAGCAUGUAUGAGGCUCUGGGUUUGAUUCUCAGCACCACA
Molecule: transfer RNA, 71 nt
Filed under: Marmota monax (woodchuck)
Lineage: Eukaryota; Metazoa; Chordata; Mammalia; Rodentia; Sciuridae
Description: tRNA.Ala
Rfam family: tRNA
About the family: Transfer RNA (tRNA) molecules are approximately 80 nucleotides in length. Their secondary structure includes four short double-helical elements and three loops (D, anti-codon, and T loops).
Source: RNAcentral